AGGCCACCUGUGUGAUGUGGACACCACCUCUCCGUGAAAGUUUUUCCUAUCCUUUCCUUGUACUUCAGAUGUAUGUUUUAACUUUGAUUCUCAGAUUAGGUGAUGGAAGCUGCCCAUUCUUCAUCACCCCUUGCUACUCAUUCCCAGUUUAAUUCCUAGAAAGGACCUCAAGCAAUGAUAGAAGGCCCUUCAUUGCACUCUGUCUUUCCAAUGUUGCUUUUAUGCUUCCCUGGCAAUUUGCUCAGUUUAUACUUUUUACACAGAUAGCAUCAUUAUUUCCCAUGUAUGUUGUGGGAUACAUUGAACCAAGCAAAUUUCAGAAGAUCAUUUAUAUGAACAUGAUUUCAGUUACCCUUAGUUUCAUUUUGAUGUUUGGAAAUUCAAUGUACUUAUCUUCUUAUUAUUCUUCAUCUUUGUUAAUGACAUGGGCAAUAAUUCUAAAGAGAAAUGAAAUUCAAAAACUGGGAGUAUCUAAACUCAACUGCUGGCUAAUUCAAGGUAGUGCCUGGUGGUGUGGAACAAUCAUUUUGAAAUUUCUGACAUCUAAAAUCUUAGGCGUUUCAGACCAUAUUUGCCUGAGUGAUCUUAUAGCAGCCGGAAUCUUAAGGUAUACAGAUUUUGAUACUUUAAAAUACACCUGUUCUCCCGAAUUUGACUUCAUGGAAAAAGCGACUCUGCUGAUAUACACAAAGACAUUAUUGCUUCCAGUUGUUAUGGUGAUUACAUGUUUUAUCUUUAAAAAGACUGUUGGUGAUAUUUCGCGUGUUUUAGCUACAAACGUUUAUCUAAGAAAACAGCUCCUUGAACACAGUGAGCUGGCUUUUCACACAUUGCAGUUGUUAGCAUUUACUGCCCUUGCCAUUUUAAUUUUGAGGCUAAAGCUGUUUUUGACACAGCACAUGUGUGUUAUGGCUUCCUUGAUAUGCUCUUGACGGCUCUUUGGCUGGCUUUUUCGCAGAGUUCGCAGAGAGAAUGUUAUCUUUGGCAUUCUAACAGUGAUGUCAAUACAAGGUUAUGCAAACCUCUGUAAUCAAUGGAGCAUAACAGGAGAAUUUAAUGAUUUGCCUCAGGAAGAACUUUUACAGUGGAUCAAAUACAAUACCGUACCAGAUGCUGUCUUUGCAGGUGCCAUGCCUACAAUGGCAAGUGUCAAGCUGUCUACACUUCAUCCCAUUGUGAAUCAUCCACAUUACGAAGAUGCAGACUUGAGGGCUUGGACAAAAAUAGUUUAUUCUACAUAUAGUGGAAAAUCUGCCAAAGAAGUAAGAGAUAAAUUGUUGGAGUUACAUGUGAAUUAUUAUGUUUUAGAAGAGGCAUGGUGUGUUGUGAGAACUAAGCCUGGUUGCAGCAUGCUUGAAAUCUGGGAUGUGGAAGACCCUUCCAAUGCAGCUAACCCUCCCUUAUGUAGCGUCCUCCUUGAGCCGAGAUUGUGCCACUGCACUCCAGCCUGGGCGACAAAUCAAGACCCCGUCUCCAAAAAAAAAAAAAACAAAACUUGAUUGGGAUCCAAAAUCAUACAACUAUACACUAAAAUCAGUGAAUAUUACCUUAUGUAAAUUAAAAAUUAGGAAAUCAAAAGAAAAGCAUACAUAUAAAAAACAGUUUUUUCUAAGCAUUUCUCAUUUGUAGGGUGUUUGAAUUACGUUGUAUGUUGUCUCAUUUCACCCCCAUAACAAAUCUAUGAAAGAGGUACUUUUAUCCCCAUGUUAACGUGAAUAAACCCAGGUUUGGAAAA
This is an RNA transcript of Homo sapiens (human), 1735 nucleotides long. It is a transcript of the gene named DPY19L2 pseudogene 2, with no coding region annotated. The record is from RefSeq and is marked validated. NCBI's taxonomy places the organism in Eukaryota, Metazoa, Chordata, Mammalia, Primates, Hominidae.